Molecule: long non-coding RNA, 1247 nt
Filed under: Struthio camelus australis
Lineage: Eukaryota; Metazoa; Chordata; Aves; Struthioniformes; Struthionidae
Description: lncRNA (ENSSCUG00000007565.1)
Source: RNAcentral
CUUUUAGUCCCUUAGGUAGUAGGAUCUGAUUCAACCUUCUGUCUCCUUUAAUGCUGUGACUAUCAAUAGCUUUCCCCUUUCUAACACAGGUGGAAGGGCUACAUAGGAAUAUACAGUUUUAGGAGUUCCAUAGUCUCUAACCACCAUCCUUUUGCAUAGCCCCUGUUGUGGCCCAUGUGCCCCUUUUUUCAUCAGACUUAUACAGAAAAGAGAGAGCAGGUCAUGUAGAGCUGACUGUAGCUGAAUUUUAGAAUGAGCUUCAUGUUUGUUUGUUUGUUUGUUUUUUUAAUAUUAAGCUGGGGAAUGGAUUGAAGGAUUAGGAAAUGUUAUAACGGUGAUACUAGUAUUUCUGAGAAGUGCAAUGAACGCUUUAUCCAUAACACUUAAAAUACUACCAUUGUUUAUGUAUUUACUCGGAGAGAAAGCUGUAUGCAGAUAGAAGAAUUUCUUUGUGUACAGCACUAGAAAUGUUAAGCCUGUUUUUCAUCCCCUCCUAUUUUUCAUUCUUUGCAGACAGUUAGGACAAGAGCAGUUGCUAAAGAAACUGUUCUAAAGAAUGAGGUAACACUAAGCCUAUCUGGAAUAUAUUUUUCAAAAGUUCGGCGUGUUCCCAUUAGUACCAUAAAACAAAAACAAGAAAUACAGAAAAUAACACUCUGAAAGCCCAAAUUCUGAAAAUUUCCAGAAGAAAGACGUUUGAGAAAAUGAGAGAAAUGCCAAGAUCUCAGGAUUCUCACUGUUGAUUAAACCUGUAAAGUUUUUGAAGUUCACAUAGCUGUAAUUAUACUGCCUACUUGCGUUUUCUGAAAGCAGUUUCUGUCACUAACAAAUGUCUUUCUACCAAGCACUUGAUCCACAAAAUAGCUCUGGUUUGCCGUCUAACAACAAAUAAGCAUUUAUUAAUGGAAUCUGCAUGAUCUACCCUAGUAUAGAAAAGUUUUAGCUGGUGCUUAGGACGUCGUGUUGAUACUUUUACAUAAAUGUCAGAUUCAAUCCCCCUUUUAUUACCAAUAAUCUAGGUCCUAAAUUGUUAAGGGGAAAAAAAAUGCAACUAUUUCCUUUUCUUCUUUUUUUACCAAUUAAGAACAGUUAUAUCAAAUAGCCAUUCCUUAAGAUAAAAAGCAUCUGGUUGGCAGAAGUUGCUUGUCAGCAGACAGACCAAGCAACAGCUUAAUUAGUUACAAGGAAGCUCCAUUGACAAAGAGGGAGGAGCCAUUCAAAGCUAAAUAAAUCUGUAACUAAAUUCA